AUACGGAGGGGGCUAGCGUUGUUCGGAAUUACUGGGCGUAAAGGGCGCGUAGGCGGAUUGUCAAGUCAGAGGUGAAAGCCCUGGGCUCAACCCGGGAACUGCCUUUGAAACUAACAGUCUUGAGUCCGAGAGAGGAUGGCGGAAUUCCCAGUGUAGAGGUGAAAUUCGUAGAUAUUGGGAAGAACACCAGUGGCGAAGGCGGCCAUCUGGCUCGGUACUGACGCUGAGGCGCGAAAGCGUGGGGAGCAAACAGGAUUAGAAACCCUAGUAGUCC
RNAcentral lists this ribosomal RNA (274 nucleotides) under uncultured bacterium. RNAcentral describes it as "partial 16S ribosomal RNA". It matches the Rfam family "Bacterial small subunit ribosomal RNA", at positions 523 to 796 of the family's 1533-position model. The record is from RNAcentral.